UGUUAAGAUACUUUGUUAAGACAAUAUGGUCACACAGAUGAGUAUGUGUUACGUUACUUUUAAAUGGAUACACGAGCUCGUGUACUAAACAUUACUGUAGUCUAGCUGAUCUGAGACCAGUAGCCUACAGUAACUUGGCCAUAUUCCUUCCUGAAACCCACAUAGCAACACCUACAUCGCGCACAUAGCAUUCACUGUCACAAAUGCCCGUCAGCAAUUGUUAUAGGCAAUUAUACUUAGCUACUUGCUAUACUUUUCUCAACUUCACUAUGUCGAAAAACUAGCUAGACUGGAUAGCACUAGCCAGCAACAUGGAAAUUAACGGGAAUGGAGAUGCCGUAGUGGUUGGAAGAGAGAUGACCAGCAAGAUUGGUUGCAGAACAAAGCCCACCCUUGGUCAAGUCUGGAGUCUGAUGACAAGCUGCCUGAGUCUGAUGACCACAGCACUGAUGGCACCUGAAAGGCUUUGUGGAAAAUGAAUGGUUUCUUUGUGUCCAAUCACUUGCAUAAAUGGACAAUAAUAGUG
Osmerus eperlanus (European smelt) is the source of this 526-nucleotide long non-coding RNA. RefSeq lists it as uncharacterized. Lineage: Eukaryota; Metazoa; Chordata; Actinopteri; Osmeriformes; Osmeridae. The record is from RefSeq and is a predicted model, not a curated record. The transcript is spliced from 2 exons.